Molecule: ribosomal RNA, 440 nt
Filed under: uncultured bacterium
Lineage: Bacteria
Description: partial 16S ribosomal RNA
Rfam family: Bacterial small subunit ribosomal RNA
Source: RNAcentral
CCUACGGGUGGCAGCAGUAGGGAAUAUUGCUCAAUGGGGGAAACCCUGAAGCAGCAACGCCGCGUGGAGGAUGAGGGUUUUCGGAUUGUAAACUCCUUUUGUUAGAGAAGAUAAUGACGGUAUGUAACGAAUAAGCACCGGCUAACUCCGUGCCAGCAGCCGCGGUAAUACGGAGGGUGCAAGCGUUACGCGGAAUCACUGGGCGUAAAGAGGGCGUAGGCGGGUUAGCAAGUCAGAUGUGAAAUCCUAUGGCUUAACCAUAGAACUGCAUUUGAAACUGUUAGUCUAGAGUAUGGGAGAGGUAGGUGGAAUUCUUGGUGUAGGGGUAAAAUCCGUAGAGAUCAAGAGGAAUACUCAUUGCGAAGGCGAUCUGCUAGAACAUAACUGACGCUGAUGCGCGAAAGUGUGGGGAGCAAACAGGAUUAGAUACCCCAGUAGUC